ACUCAAAUGAAUUGACGGGGACCCGCACAAGCAGUGGAGCAUGUGGUUUAAUUCGAGGGUACACGAAGAACCUUACCAAGGCUUGACAUCCCAGGAAGGCCCUAGAAACAGGGCUGUGCCUUCGGGAACCUGGUGACAGGUGUUGCAUGGCCGUCGUCAGCUCGUGUCGUGAGAUGUUGGGUUAAGUCCCGCAACGAGCGCAACCCUUGUCGUCUGUUGUAUUUUUCAGACGAGACUGCCCCGGCCAACGGGGAGGAAGGUGGGGAUGACGUCAGGUCAGCAUGACCCUUACCGCCUUGGGCUACACACGUGCUACAAUGGCCGGUACAACGCGUCGCGAAAGCGCAAGCUGGAGCUAAUCGCAUCAAAACCGGUCCCAGUUCGGAUUGAGGGCUGCAACUCGCCCUCAUGAAGUCGGAAUUGCUAGUAACCGUAGGUCAGCAUACUACGGUGAAUACGUUCCCGGGUCUUGUACACACCGCCCGU
Molecule: ribosomal RNA, 486 nt
Filed under: uncultured bacterium
Lineage: Bacteria
Description: partial 16S ribosomal RNA
Rfam family: Bacterial small subunit ribosomal RNA
Source: RNAcentral